UCUAUUUGUCCUUAUUCUCAAAAGAUCGACCAUAAAUCCUCUCCCGUUCACCGGAAAGAUAUCUGAGUUCUUGCUUUGUCACUUCGCUACAAGGGCAGAGAGUAUUGGAUGGGUCAUGGGUCAUGGGUCGGGUCGGAUUGUUACGGCCAAGCAAAGAAUGUAUACGACCACUACCCCGGAAUUGGGCGGGUUAUUGUUUUGGUUAUCUCCGAGAGGUCCCGUAUAUGACGAUUUCUCUGUUUCUGAAUAGAGGAGAGAAAAUGGGAGAUUGAAAUCUCCAGCUUUCGACUUAAAUGCUUAAAAGGUUUUAAGACAGUAGAUAGUACUUACCCUAGUGAGCAUGUCAAGAGCCAUCUUUGAAGAAGCGUAAGCAAGACCCCCGGGUACUAGUACUCGAUUCAGACCAGAAACUGAAGAGAUAUUAAUAACUGAUCCUCCGCCCUGUUUUGUGUCGCGCAUGCGUCUACCAACAUAUUUGGAAACCAACCAUGCCCCUCUGAGAUUCGUCUUAAAGGAAAAUUACCUCUAAGGCCGGCAUUGUUAAUCAAGACAUCGAUACGUCCAAAGGCAUCUCAAGCUCUUUGUACAGCGGCCUCAAUGGUAGCACCAUUGGACGUACUUGUCAAUACAACGAGCAGCAGCAAUGAUGCUGCAACCGGCUUUGGCCAAGUCAAGACACCACUCUCGUCCGAUACCCGAGCAUGGCCCUGUCACCAUCACUACUUUCCCGCUCAGGUCUUUCCACGGCUCCAUUUUACUUUGGUAUAUUUGGAAGGAAGUAUAAUGUGAUAAUGUGGGAAGUUAAAUAGCAGAUUGAAAGCCAGUUAUUGUUUUAUGAAAGAGCUGUUUAAUGUACCAUGUGUGACCAGAACUGAGUUGGCCAACCUAUAGCAUUUGUGAACAUGGCCAAACGGCCAACUCUAAUAAUGACAUCAGUAAACAAUAUUAGACAAGCAUAAGAUUAUUGUGACCCAUUCAAUUUUUAUCAUAGUCAAAUAGUAGUGAUCAUUUGCGUUGUUGAAGUGUUUCUUCUUUACCUGUUGAAUAAUCAUCUCAGUUUUUGAACAAAAAGU
Molecule: long non-coding RNA, 1073 nt
Organism: Solanum dulcamara
Lineage: Eukaryota; Viridiplantae; Streptophyta; Magnoliopsida; Solanales; Solanaceae
Exons: 3
Source: RefSeq, a predicted model, not a curated record